CCAGACUCCUACGGGAGGCAGCAGUGGGGGAUAUUGCACAAUGGGGGGAACCCUGGUGCAGCGACGCCGCGUGGGUGAAGGAGCGUUUCGGCGCGUAAAGCCCUAUCGGCAGGGAAGAAGGAGGACGGGACCUGACUAAGAAGCCCCGGCUAACUACGUGCCAGCAGCCGCGGGAAUACGUAGGGGGCAAGCGUUAUCCGGAUUUACUGGGUGUAAAGGGGGCGCAGACGGCAGCGCAAGCCAGGAGUGAAAGCCCGGGGCCCACCCCCGGGACUGCUCUUGGAACUGCGCGGCUGGGGUGCAGGAGGGGCAGGCGGAAUUCCUGGUGUAGCGGUGAAAUGCGUAGAUAUACGGAGGAACACCAGUGGCGAAGGCGGAUUGCUGGACAGUAACUGACGCUGAGGCGCGAAAGCGUGGGUAGCAAACAGGAUUAGAUCCCCGAGUA
This 445-nucleotide ribosomal RNA is filed under the name uncultured bacterium. RNAcentral's name for it is "bacterial SSU rRNA". It matches the Rfam family "Bacterial small subunit ribosomal RNA", at positions 331 to 792 of the family's 1533-position model. The record is from RNAcentral.